UCCCCCUGACUUUGGGCAAGGGGAUGCCUUGGUGGUGGUGUUCUUGCAUAAAUAUCAGUCAGGGGCAAAGGAGAUGGCAGUCCUUUGGUCAUUAGAGCUUGAUGCCUGGCUUGAUGGCCAAAGCUGUUCUAUGCCUAGGACUCAUAA
Meriones unguiculatus (Mongolian gerbil) is the source of this 147-nucleotide small nucleolar RNA. RefSeq annotates it as small nucleolar RNA SNORA48. NCBI's taxonomy places the organism in Eukaryota, Metazoa, Chordata, Mammalia, Rodentia, Muridae. The record is from RefSeq and is a predicted model, not a curated record. The transcript has a single exon.